This 406-nucleotide ribosomal RNA is filed under the name uncultured bacterium. RNAcentral describes it as "partial 16S ribosomal RNA". It matches the Rfam family "Bacterial small subunit ribosomal RNA", at positions 30 to 526 of the family's 1533-position model. The record is from RNAcentral.
AUUGAACGCUGGCGGCAGGCUUAACACAUGCAAGUCGAGCGAGCGGCGGAAGGGUGAGUAAUGUCUGGGAAACUGCCUGAUGGAGGGGGAUAACUACUGGAAACGGUAGCUAAUACCGCAUACCAUCAGAUGGGCACAGAUGGGAUUAGCUAGUAGGUGGGGUAAUGGCUCACCUAGGCGACGAUCCCUAGCUGGUCUGAGAGGAUGACCAGCCACACUGGAACUGAGACACGGUCCAGACUCCGACGGGAGGCAGACGUGGGGAAUAUUGCACAAUGGGCGCAAACCUGAUGCAGCCAUGCCGCGUGUGUGAAGAAGGCCUUCGGGUUGUAAAGCACUUUCAGCGAGGAGGCGUUACUCGCAGAAGAAGUACAGGCUAACUCCGUGCCAGCAGCCGCGGUAAUAC